Molecule: ribosomal RNA, 449 nt
Filed under: uncultured bacterium
Lineage: Bacteria
Description: partial 16S ribosomal RNA
Rfam family: Bacterial small subunit ribosomal RNA
Source: RNAcentral
UAGCCAGACUCCUACGGGAGGCAGCAGUGGGGAAUAUUGCACAAUGGGGGAAACCCUGAUGCAGCGACGCCGCGUGGGCGAGGAAGUAUUUCGGUAUGUAAAGCCCUAUCGGCAGGGAAGAAGAAAUGACGGUACCUGACUAAGAAGCCCCGGCUAACUACGUGCCAGCAGCCGCGGGAAUACGUAGGGGGCAAGCGUUAUCCGGAUUUACUGGGUGUAAAGGGAGCGUAGACGGCGAUGCAAGCCAGAUGUGAAAGCCCGGGGCUCAACCCCGGGACUGCAUUUGGAACUGUGCGGCUGGAGUGUCGGAGAGGCAGGCGGAAUUCCUAGUGUAGCGGUGAAAUGCGUAGAUAUUAGGAGGAACACCAGUGGCGAAGGCGGCCUGCUGGACGAUGACUGACGUUGAGGCUCGAAAGCGUGGGGAGCAAACAGGAUUAGAUACCCCCGUA